This 302-nucleotide unclassified non-coding RNA is filed under the name sea anemone metagenome. Its description in RNAcentral is "partial contains small subunit ribosomal RNA and internal transcribed spacer 1". The stretch from base 1 to 156 matches the Rfam family "Eukaryotic small subunit ribosomal RNA", at positions 1678 to 1831 of the family's 1831-position model. The record is from RNAcentral.
GCUACUACCGAUUGAAUGGUUUAGUGAGGACUCCUGAUUGGCGCCGCCGCCCCGGCAACGGAGCAGCGGACUGCCGAAAAGUUGUUCAAACUUGAUCAUUUAGAGGAAGUAAAAGUCGUAACAAGGUUUCCGUAGUGACCUGCAGAAGGAUCAUUGAUCCUUCUGCAGGUUCACCUACGGCUACCUUGUUACGACUUCACCCCAGUCGCUGAGCUCACCGUGGUCCGCUGCCUCAAAAGUUAGCGCACGGCCUUCGGGUAAACCCAACUCCCAUGGUGUGACGGGCGGUGUGUACUUGGCGG